Molecule: ribosomal RNA, 162 nt
Filed under: uncultured bacterium
Lineage: Bacteria
Description: partial 16S rRNA
Rfam family: Bacterial small subunit ribosomal RNA
Source: RNAcentral
UAGGGAAUCUUCCACAAUGGGCGAAAGCCUGAUGGAGCAACGCCGCGUGUGUGAUGAAGGUUUCGGCUCGUAAACACUGUUGUAAGAGAAGAAUGACAUUGAGAGUAACUGUUCAAUGUGUGACGGUAUCUUACCAGAAAGGAACGGCUAAAUACGUGUCAG